This is a long non-coding RNA of Stegodyphus dumicola, 2098 nucleotides long. Lineage: Eukaryota; Metazoa; Arthropoda; Arachnida; Araneae; Eresidae. The record is from RefSeq and is a predicted model, not a curated record.
CUAAAGGAUUUUGCAACUGUCCUUUGACUUGGCGAAUUUUCUUUUAACAUUAAAAAAAACUUACUUCUGCAACAUUUGAAACAUUCCUUUUUUCCCUUGGAUACGUACUUAGAUAAUCAUUACACGUGAAGCCAAAUUUUGACUUCCUCCUCUUUCUUGUUGUAAUUAUUACCUAUCGUAGCUUUAGAUGUUGAAAAACUAUGGCUUUCAUAGCGUUUUUCAAUAACUAGGUAGAAGUAAUUUUCUUUGGAAAGAGCACAGACAUAGCCUUGUUUCUUUAAAAGCGCCGUUUUGCAUGAAAACAGAACUGUCAAGUAGCAGACGAUUAUUUAUGCAUUCAAAAAUAUAGUUUCCAUUGAAAAAAAGAAUUUCAAAGCAGACGAUUUGUUUUAUAACGAAGCAAAUUCAUCUAAAAAUGUGCCAACAGUCUCUGUAUAAAUUAAACUCAUCAAGAAAGUAUUGCAAUAGAAACUUACCUAAUGUUGACGAAUAAUUGAACAUUAACAGAGGAAAAAAGAGACAGCAUCAAUACAGGAAUAAAAAACAAACAGUGGUAAAGUAAAAGAAAAUAUGAAGAAAGAAAAAUGCCAUAUUGAUUGUAAAGAAUGCGCAACAGAAUUUUUAUCGAUUCUGAAGAAAGGAGGUAAAAGAAAAUAUGAAGAAAGAAAAAUGCCACAUUGAUUGUAAAGAAUGCGCAACAGAAUUUUUAUCGAUUCUGAAGAAAGGAGGUGAAUUUAGGAUAUUACUACUUUCAGAAUCCGGUUAAGAUUAGUCUAGGACCCUACGUAAAACGUUCUUUCUGAAGCCUUAAUGCUUACUUUCUUUGCUUUUAUUGCACAAAAAUUGGCUUAUAAAAUGGCAUAUGAUGAUUUAAAAGUCCUGCUUUUUCUCUGGAGUCUUCGGUCCAGGGAAAUAGUGAAAAGGUUUUCACUAAAUUACACAUAACUUGAAAAUGGACAGGAAAGUUUUCUUCCUCCAAGUUUUAAGCUCUGUAUGAACUCAACAGAAAAGUGAUAGCAACAAGUAUCAAACUGCAGAUCUCUGUUAAGAGGAAAUGAACCCGAAACCUUUAAUAAAGCUUACUGUAUCUGAAGUGGAGAGGCAGAUUCUUCAUGGUAAUAUUACUCGAGAAAGACGACGGUUGAACUCAGAAGAAAAGACAAGUUUCCCUGGAAAACCUGCAUUCCUUCUCAAAGCUAUUUUACUCUGCUUGUGGCUGGAUAUAAAAACUGUGGUACAUUUUGGGUACCUGGAAGAUAUCUAAAUAGUAAUAUAAAAACAUUUUGUUAUCAGUGAGAUAAUUUUAGACGGUGUUUAACCAUAAACAGGCUUGUAUUUAUCAAUAGAUCUGAAGUAAUUCUUCAUCAAGAUAACUCUAAAUUAUACUGCAAAUGUAACUUAAGAAAAGCAAAUAAUCGAAAAUUUUUAUUCUUCCUUUAAGAGUCCAAUUAUUAUCGCUCCAGUUUUUACCUGUUCAAGUCCCUUCAGAAUUUUUUUAUAAUCAAAAACUGCCACAGUUGACAGGAGAUCGAAAGUGCAAUAAAAGAAUAUUUUGUGGAAAUGCCAAACGAUUUCUUCGAAAAAAGGAUUGGGAGGUAAUGCCUGAAGUAGGGCUGCAGUCACAGAAAACGUUGGAUAUUACAUUAAUAAUUAAACUUAAAGCAAUAAAUACUUUUUUCAUUUGAACUGCAUGUCCAAGCCCUGCCUUGCUUACGCAUCAAAACAAUAUUUUCAGCAUGUAUUUAUGCUCUUUGGACAUACAGGAAAAUAAAUAUUAAAUGUCUGGUGUGUGUGUAAAUGCAUAUGUAUUAGGUUCUAUUAAGGUAACGAAAUUAUGUUUUGGAGGAGAAAACGUAGAUGUUAAAAAUGAAAGCCGAUUCAUUAAAGGUGACAAGUACAAUCGUGAUAAGUUUAUAUUUCAUUUACUGUAGACAAAUAUUUUUUGAAUGCAAACAUAUAUAACUUGGGUGCAAAGCGCACCUGUUCUUGGUACUCUUAUAUUUUUAGGAUAUCUUAAAAAAGAAAAAAGAAAGUAAGAGCUACAGCAGAUAGCAAGUUUGUAAACUAGAGAUACGAAGAAUAAAUGCAAUUUUAAAGG